This 159-nucleotide non-coding RNA is filed under the name Alphaproteobacteria bacterium. RNAcentral's name for it is "6S RNA". It matches the Rfam family "6S / SsrS RNA". Rfam says of the family: E. coli 6S RNA was the first non coding RNA to be sequenced, but its function was unknown until recently. It consists of 184 nucleotides that fold into an extended hairpin structure with a large single-stranded internal bulge. Lineage: Bacteria; Pseudomonadati; Pseudomonadota; Alphaproteobacteria. The record is from RNAcentral. RNAcentral also lists the same sequence under 1 other name.
CGCGUGCUGCGCCGUGCGUGAAGCCAAACUUGUCCCGGGGGCUAUACUCUCCUCUUGGGAGCUGUCUCUGCCGGGAUCCAGGUCCUGGUACCGCGGCGCCCACCUACUAUUGUAGGCUCCAGAGGAUAAGAGAAGAGGCCACGGCGGAUGUGGCCGCGC